RNAcentral lists this ribosomal RNA (433 nucleotides) under uncultured bacterium. Its description in RNAcentral is "partial 16S ribosomal RNA". It matches the Rfam family "Bacterial small subunit ribosomal RNA", at positions 29 to 507 of the family's 1533-position model. The record is from RNAcentral.
AGCGAACGCUGGCGGCAGGCUUAACACAUGCAAGUCGAGCGGGCCUUUCGGGGUCAGCGGCGGACGGGUGAGUAACGCGUGGGAACGUGCCCUCUGGUUCGGAAUAACUCAGGGAAACUUGAGCUAAUACCGGAUACGCCCUCUUGGGGAAAGGCUUGCUGCCGGAGGAUCGGCCCGCGUCUGAUUAGAUAGUUGGUGAGGUAACGGCUCACCAAGGCGACGAUCAGUAGCUGGUCUGAGAGGAUGAUCAGCGACACUGGGACUGAGACACGGCCCAGACUCCUACGGGAGGCAGCAGAGGGGAAUAUUGGACAAUGGGCGCAAGCCUGAUCCAGCCAGGCCGGGUGAGUGAUGAAGGCCUUAGGGUUGUAAAGCUCUUUUAUCCGGGACGAUAAUGACGGUACCGGAGGAAUAAGCCCCGGCUAACUUCGUG